This 357-nucleotide ribosomal RNA is filed under the name uncultured Ruminococcus sp. RNAcentral describes it as "bacterial SSU rRNA". It matches the Rfam family "Bacterial small subunit ribosomal RNA", at positions 355 to 725 of the family's 1533-position model. Lineage: Bacteria; Bacillati; Bacillota; Clostridia; Eubacteriales; Oscillospiraceae. The record is from RNAcentral.
UGGGGAAUAUUGCACAAUGGGGGAAACCCUGAUGCAGCGAUGCCGCGUGGAGGAAGAAGGUUUUCGGAUUGUAAACUCCUGUCUUAAAGGAAGAAGUCAGUGACGGUACUUUAGGAGGAAGCUCCGGCUAACUACGUGCCAGCAGCCGCGGUAAUACGUAGGGAGCGAGCGUUGUCCGGAAUUACUGGGUGUAAAGGGAGCGCAGGCGGGUCAGCAAGUCAGAUGUGAAAAUUUUGGGCUUAACCCAAAAAUUGCAUUUGAAACUGUUGAUCUUGAGUGAAGUAGAGGUAAGCGGAAUUCCUGGUGUAGCGGUGAAAUGCGUAGAGAUCAGGAGGAACAUCGGUGGCGAAAGGCGGC